ACCGUGCAAAGGUAGCAUAAUCACUUGCCCGUUAAUUGCGGGCUAGAAUGAAAGGAUCUACGAAAUAAAAACUGUCUCUAUAAGCCCGAUAAAAAUUAACCUCUAACUGAAGACUGUUAGAUACCGUCGAAGGACAAGAAGACCCUAUAGAGCUUCAUUUUAAUAGAAAUAUACUAUUCUUACAAAAUUCGGUUGGGGCGACCUGGGAAAAACAAUCAUCCCAUGAAAUAAGAUAAAUAAAUCUCUAUAUUGACCCUAAUUAAGAUCACAAGAACAAGCUACCUUAGGGAUAACAGGCUAAUCCCACUAAAGAGUCCUUAUCAAUAGUGGGGUUUGGCACCUCGAUGUUGGCUUAGGGAAUCUAUGUGGCGCAAAAGUCACAUAAAGAUGGUUUGUUCAACCAAAAAUACCCUACAUGAGCUGAGUUCAGAACGG
Molecule: ribosomal RNA, 435 nt
Filed under: Octolasion lacteum
Lineage: Eukaryota; Metazoa; Annelida; Clitellata; Crassiclitellata; Lumbricidae
Description: partial 16S ribosomal RNA
Rfam family: Bacterial large subunit ribosomal RNA
Source: RNAcentral